This 87-nucleotide transfer RNA is filed under the name Robiginitomaculum sp. RNAcentral describes it as "tRNA-Leu". It matches the Rfam family "tRNA". From Rfam's summary of the family: Transfer RNA (tRNA) molecules are approximately 80 nucleotides in length. Their secondary structure includes four short double-helical elements and three loops (D, anti-codon, and T loops). The record is from RNAcentral. Lineage: Bacteria; Pseudomonadati; Pseudomonadota; Alphaproteobacteria; Maricaulales; Robiginitomaculaceae.
GCGGGCGUGGCGGAAUCGGUAGACGCACAGGACUUAAAAUCCUGAGAUCGCAAGAUCGUGGGGGUUCAAGUCCCCCCGCCCGCACCA